AGGGUUGUAGUUAAAAAUAACAUUUAAAUUGCAAUUAAAAAGUACUAGAAAGUCAACCUU
This 60-nucleotide transfer RNA is filed under the name Cyphonia clavata. RNAcentral describes it as "tRNA-Ala". The record is from RNAcentral. Lineage: Eukaryota; Metazoa; Arthropoda; Insecta; Hemiptera; Membracidae.